Molecule: ribosomal RNA, 496 nt
Filed under: uncultured bacterium
Lineage: Bacteria
Description: partial 16S ribosomal RNA
Rfam family: Bacterial small subunit ribosomal RNA
Source: RNAcentral
GAUGAACGCUGGCGGCGUGCCUAAUACAUGCAAGUCGAGCGAACAGACGAGGAGCUUGCUCCUCUGACGUUAGCGGCGGACGGGUGAGUAACACGUGGAUAACCUACCUAUAAGACUGGGAUAACUUCGGGAAACCGGAGCUAAUACCGGAUAAUAUAUUGAACCGCAUGGUUCAAUAGUGAAAGACGGUUUUGCUGUCACUUAUAGAUGGAUCCGCGCCGCAUUAGCUAGUUGGUAAGGUAACGGCUUACCAAGGCAACGAUGCGUAGCCGACCUGAGAGGGUGAUCGGCCACACUGGAACUGAGGCACGGUCCAGACUCCUACGGGAGGCAGCAGUAGGGAAUCUUCCGCAAUGGGCGAAAGCUUGACGGAGCAACGCCGCGUGAGUGAUGAAGGUCUUCGGAUCGUAAAACUCUGUUAUUAGGGAAGAACAAAUGUGUAAGUAACUAUGCACGUCUUGACGGUACCUAAGCAGAAAGCCACGGCUAACUACGU